This 1192-nucleotide ribosomal RNA is filed under the name uncultured bacterium. RNAcentral's name for it is "bacterial SSU rRNA". It matches the Rfam family "Bacterial small subunit ribosomal RNA", at positions 172 to 1387 of the family's 1533-position model. The record is from RNAcentral.
CAUAAGCCCACAGCUCGGCUUCGAGCAGGGGGGAAAAGGAGUGAUCCGCUUUGAGAUGGCCUCGCGUCCGAUUAGCUAGUUGGUGAGGUAACGGCCCACCAAGGCGACGAUCGGUAGCCGGACUGAGAGGUUGAACGGCCACAUUGGGACUGAGACACGGCCCAGACUCCUACGGGAGGCAGCAGUGGGGAAUAUUGCACAAUGGGGGAAACCCUGAUGCAGCGACGCCGCGUGGAGGAAGAAGGUCUUCGGAUUGUAAACUCCUGUUGUUGAGGAAGAUAAUGACGGUACUCAACAAGGAAGUGACGGCUAACUACGUGCCAGCAGCCGCGGUAAAACGUAGGUCACAAGCGUUGUCCGGAAUUACUGGGUGUAAAGGGAGCGCAGGCGGGAGAACAAGUUGGAAGUGAAAUCCAUGGGCUCAACCCAUGAACUGCUUUCAAAACUGUUUUUCUUGAGUAGUGCAGAGGUAGGCGGAAUUCCCGGUGUAGCGGUGGAAUGCGUAGAUAUCGGGAGGAACACCAGUGGCGAAGGCGGCCUACUGGGCACCAACUGACGCUGAGGCUCGAAAGUGUGGGUAGCAAACAGGAUUAGAUACCCUGGUAGUCCACACUGUAAACGAUGAUUAUUAGGUGUUUGAGGAUUGACCCCUUCAGUGCCGCAGUUAACACAAUACGUAAUCCACCUGGGGAGUACGACCGCAAGGUUGAAACUCAAAGGAAUUGACGGGGGCCCGCACAAGCAGUGGAGUAUGUGGUUUAAUUCGACGCAACGCGAAGAACCUUACCAAGUCUUGACAUCCCUUGACGAUGCUGGAAACAGCAUUUCUCUUCGGAGCAAGGAGACAGGUGGUGCAUGGUUGUCGUCAGCUCGUGUCGUGAGAUGUUGGGUUAAGUCCCGCAACGAGCGCAACCCUUAUGGUCAGUUACUACGCAAGAGGACUCUGGCCAGACUGCCGUUGACAAAACGGAGGAAGGUGGGGAUGACGUCAAAUCAUCAUGCCCUUUAUGACUUGGGCUACACACGUACUACAAUGGCGUUAAACAAAGAGAAGCAAGACCGCGAGGUGGAGCAAAACUCAGAAACAACGUCCCAGUUCGGACUGCAGGCUGCAACUCGCCUGCACGAAGUCGGAAUUGCUAGUAAUCGUGGAUCAGCAUGCCACGGUGAAUACGUUCCCGGGCCUUGCACA